UCUCUUCUCAUUUUCAGUUAGAGAUCGUGGAUACUUGGAUCUAUUCUGCCUCCAAUACUUAAUAAUAGUUUCCCUCGCAUAAAGUCCUUCAGGCUCCACUCCAGUCUCAUGCACCAUAUCUUGAUAUAUUUUCCCCCAAAGCAAGUCAUUGUCAGGGAUAGGCACAUCAUACUCCUUCCUAAUCUUUUCUUUAAGUUCUUGUUGUUUUCUUGACUUCCAUGGUUCC
RNAcentral lists this long non-coding RNA (226 nucleotides) under Setaria italica (foxtail millet). RNAcentral describes it as "long non-coding RNA (SITA_LNC004472)". Lineage: Eukaryota; Viridiplantae; Streptophyta; Magnoliopsida; Poales; Poaceae. The record is from RNAcentral.